GAUGAACGCUGGCGGCGUGCCUAAUACAUGCAAGUAGAACGCUGAAGGAAGGAGCUUGCUCUUUCCGGAUGAGUUGCGAACGGGUGAGUAACGCGUAGGUAACCUGCCUGGUAGCGGGGGAUAACUAUUGGAAACGAUAGCUAAUACCGCAUAACAGUAGAUGUUGCAUGAUAUCUACUUAAAAGGUGCAAUUGCACCACUACCAGAUGGACCUGCGUUGUAUUAGCUAGUUGGUGAGGUAACGGCUCACCAAGGCGACGAUACAUAGCCGACCUGAGAGGGUGAUCGGCCACCCUGGGACUGAGACACGGCCCAGACUCCUACGGGAGGCAGCAGUAGGGAAUCUUCGGCAAUGGACGGAAGUCUGACCGAGCAACGCCGCGGGAGUGAAGAAGGUUUUCGGAUCGUAAAGCUCUGUUGUAAGAGAAGAACGAGUGUGAGAGUGGAAAGUUCACACUGUGACGGUAUCUUACCAGAAAGGGACGGCUAACUACGUG
RNAcentral lists this ribosomal RNA (497 nucleotides) under uncultured bacterium. RNAcentral describes it as "partial 16S ribosomal RNA". It matches the Rfam family "Bacterial small subunit ribosomal RNA", at positions 28 to 507 of the family's 1533-position model. The record is from RNAcentral.